AUGCUAGAGAGGGAUGGCCGAAUGGUGGUAAAAGAUUAUGAUGGCCAGCCCGUCUGGGAAAAUGGUGUGAACACUUCAUCAAAUGCCGAACAAGCUCAGUUGUUGGACACAGGAAAUCUCAUCGUGAAGGGCCAAGGUGAUAUAGUUCUAUGGCAAAGCUUUGAUUCUCCUACUGAUACAUUGCUACCCAAUCAGAAUAUAACUGCUGGUUCAAGGUUGGAAUCUAGUAAUAGGCUACUUGUUCCUGGGCACUACAGCUUCCAUUUUGAUGAUGAGCUUUUACUUACACUGUUUGAUGAUCAGAAGGGUGUCUCUUUUAUCUAUUGGCCAAACCCUUUCAUUAAUAUCUGGACAAAGCAAAGACACUCAUUUAAUACCACCACAAUUGGGGUCCUUGAUAGCUGGGGUUUUUUCCUUGGAAGUGAUAAUUUAACUAUAAAGGCUGCUGAUUGGGGUCUCAGGGUUAUGCGAAGGCUAACACUGGAUUAUGAUGGCAACCUUAGAUUAUACAGUCUAAAUAAGCCAAAUGGAAGAUGGUCGGUCACAUGGAUGGCAUUUCCGCAGACCUGCUUUGUACGUGGUUUGUGUGGUAUGAAUGGGAUAUGUGUGUAUACACCUAGGCCUGCUUGUGCAUGUGCCCCUGGACAUGAGAUCAUCGACCCAAGUGACCGGAGCAAAGGUUGCAAGCCAAAGUUCAACCUCAGUUGUGGUGGGCAUGGGCAGGAGAUGUACUUUUUGAAGCUACCUUCCACGGACUUUCUAGGCUAUGAUCGUAAGAUUGAGUCAGUUUCUCUUCCUGCUUGCAAGCGGAUAUGCUUGAGUGACUGCACAUGCAAUGGUUUCUCAUACUGGCAAGGAGAUGGAAGCUGUUACCCAAAGUCAUCCCUUGUUGGUGGUGUAGCCAACCCACAAUUACCUGGUUCUAUCUAUCUCAAGCUUCCCAAGACAUUGCAAGUCUCAAAGUCCUCGAUUCCUCACUCGCAACCUUCUGGCCCUAGAUAUGGUCCUAACUGUAGUGCAAAGAACAAAUAUGUCACUGUAGAUUUUCUGGAUAAGCGUAAGAGCAGUCAGAGUGGAUCACAGUAUUCGUAUUUCUACGGAUUCUUAUCAGCGAUAUUUUGUGUCGAGGUGAUAUUUGUAGCAUUAGGAUGCUGGUUUAUUUUGAUAAGGGAGCACAGGCAGUUAACAGGAGUAUGGCCGGCUGAGGUUGGCUAUGAAAUGAUAACUAAUCAUUUCCGCAGAUACACUUACAAUGAGUUGCGGAGAGCUACUCGGGAGUUCAAGGAUCUGAUUGGGAGGGGGGCAUCUGGUCUCGUAUACAAGGGAAUCUUGAAAGACAGGAGGGCAGUAGCUGUGAAAAGGUUGGCAGAGAUAAACCAAGGUGAAGAAGAAUUCCAGCAUGAACUGAGUGUGAUUGGAAAGAUUUACCAUAUGAAUCUGGUGAGGGUUUGGGGAUUCUGUUCUGAUGGACCACACAGGAUGUUGGUUUUAGAGUAUGUUGAGAAUGGAUCGUUGGAUAAAAUACUGUUUAGCAGAGACUCACAGAUAUUACUUGAAUGGAAUAAAAGAUUUCAGAUUGCUCUAGGAGUGGCAAAAGGAUUGGCCUACCUUCAUCACGAGUGCUUGGAGUGGGUUAUCCACUGUGACCUGAAGCCAGAGAACAUACUGUUGGAUGAGAACUUAGAGCCAAAGAUCACCGACUUUGGUCUUGCAAAACUUCUAAAUAGAGGCGGGUCAAAUAAAAAUGUAUCGCGGAUCCAUGGAACUAGAGGUUAUAUAGCUCCUGAGUGGGUUUCUGGACUCCCAAUAACAGCAAAGGUUGAUGUCUACAGCUUCGGAGUGGUUCUCCUAGAGCUACUCAAGGGGGCUCGUGUUUCAGACUGGGCACCAAAUGAAGACGAGGAACUGGAGAUGGUCCUUCGAAGGGUCAUUAAGAUGCUUGCAGAAAAUCUGAUGUUGGAGGGCAGCGAACAGUUAUGGAUCGCUGACUUCAUUGACUCCAGAUUGAACAGGCAGUUCAAUAACUUGCAAGCAAAAAUGAUGGUCAAGUUGGCUGUUUCAUGCGUAGAAAAAGAUAGUAGGAAAAGGCCUACCAUGGAAAAUGUUGUGCAGAUGCUUGUUUCGGUAGAUGAGGACAGUAAACCAGCUAAAUAA
This 2154-nucleotide ribosomal RNA is filed under the name Triticum aestivum (bread wheat). RNAcentral's name for it is "partial small subunit ribosomal RNA". Lineage: Eukaryota; Viridiplantae; Streptophyta; Magnoliopsida; Poales; Poaceae. The record is from RNAcentral.